This 71-nucleotide transfer RNA is filed under the name Loxodonta africana (African savanna elephant). It matches the Rfam family "tRNA". From Rfam's summary of the family: Transfer RNA (tRNA) molecules are approximately 80 nucleotides in length. Their secondary structure includes four short double-helical elements and three loops (D, anti-codon, and T loops). Further hydrogen bonds mediate the characteristic L-shaped molecular structure. tRNAs have two regions of fundamental functional importance: the anti-codon, which is responsible for specific mRNA codon recognition, and the 3' end, to which the tRNAs corresponding amino acid is attached (by aminoacyl-tRNA synthetases). tRNAs cope with the degeneracy of the genetic code in two manners: having more than one tRNA (with a specific anti-codon) for a particular amino acid; and 'wobble' base-pairing, i.e. permitting non-standard base-pairing at the 3rd anti-codon position. The record is from Rfam by way of RNAcentral. Lineage: Eukaryota; Metazoa; Chordata; Mammalia; Proboscidea; Elephantidae.
GCAGUGCUGGUUCAGUGGUAGUAUUCUCGCCUUCUACGCAGGAGACCCAGGUUCAAUUCCUGGCCAAUGCA